This 630-nucleotide ribosomal RNA is filed under the name Pseudomonas gessardii. Its description in RNAcentral is "bacterial SSU rRNA". It matches the Rfam family "Bacterial small subunit ribosomal RNA", at positions 49 to 674 of the family's 1533-position model. Lineage: Bacteria; Pseudomonadati; Pseudomonadota; Gammaproteobacteria; Pseudomonadales; Pseudomonadaceae. The record is from RNAcentral.
AGCUACCAUGCAGUCGAGCGGUAGAGAGAAGCUUGCUUCUCUUGAGAGCGGCGGACGGGUGAGUAAUGCCUAGGAAUCUGCCUGGUAGUGGGGGAUAACGUUCGGAAACGGACGCUAAUACCGCAUACGUCCUACGGGAGAAAGCAGGGGACCUUCGGGCCUUGCGCUAUCAGAUGAGCCUAGGUCGGAUUAGCUAGUUGGUGAGGUAAUGGCUCACCAAGGCGACGAUCCGUAACUGGUCUGAGAGGAUGAUCAGUCACACUGGAACUGAGACACGGUCCAGACUCCUACGGGAGGCAGCAGUGGGGAAUAUUGGACAAUGGGCGAAAGCCUGAUCCAGCCAUGCCGCGUGUGUGAAGAAGGUCUUCGGAUUGUAAAGCACUUUAAGUUGGGAGGAAGGGUUGUAGAUUAAUACUCUGCAAUUUUGACGUUACCGACAGAAUAAGCACCGGCUAACUCUGUGCCAGCAGCCGCGGUAAUACAGAGGGUGCAAGCGUUAAUCGGAAUUACUGGGCGUAAAGCGCGCGUAGGUGGUUUGUUAAGUUGGAUGUGAAAUCCCCGGGCUCAACCUGGGAACUGCAUUCAAAACUGACUGACUAGAGUAUGGUAGAGGGUGGUGGAAUUUCCUGU